AGCUUGUCUGCUCUGCAGUCCUCGUUCUUCACUCAGUUGUUUCCUGCUUUUGCAUGAAGGACUUGCAGCAGCCACCAGGGAAGCAGUCGGCCUCUGGUAAUGAAGACUUUUGGCUGAUGAAACGGGGUGUUGGACUGCCCGGCAGACCUCGUUGCAUCUUCAGAGCCUCUGAGCUGAGGUUGAGUGAUUGGGGGUGGAAGAGGACAUCUCGAAAGUACAGAGAGUGCAUCAUGUCUUUUAUCCUGUCUUCCUUCUCUCACCCCAACCGGUCGCAGCAGAUGGCCCCGCCCCUCCCUGAGGUUUCUUCCUGUUAAAAUGGAGUUUUUCCUUCCCACUGUCGCCAAAGUGCUGCUCAUAG
This is a long non-coding RNA of Astatotilapia calliptera (eastern happy), 358 nucleotides long. The record is from Ensembl. Lineage: Eukaryota; Metazoa; Chordata; Actinopteri; Cichliformes; Cichlidae.